GAAAGCUUGUAAUGUGCUGUUUUUACAGAGCUAUGUCCAUCUGGGAAAGCAGUCUACAGAUUACUACUGUGUGCAGCAUACUUGGAGCUUGGUUUGGAGCAUUUCCUAUUCCUCUUGAUUGGGAUCGGCCUUGGCAGGUAUGGCCCAUUUCCUGUUCCCUCGGAGCUACCUUUGGCUAUAUGGCUGGUCUGAUUAUUGCACCUCUGUGGAUACACUGGAACCGGAAGCAGCUUACAUACAAAAGCAGAUAACUGGAGCAAAGAGAGACAAGGUAUUUCUUUGUGCAGAUUCCAUACAGACUGUGCAAAAGUUGUUUUUUUAAGAUAGAUAUAUAUAUAUAUAUAUAGUCAAAGCAGAAGACUGUCCAAAUUCAGAUAAGAGUAUUUCAGGCCAAGCAUCUCCACUCAUUAAAAUCACAUAGAUGCCAUUUCAGCAUGGUGCAGUUUUUGCUUCCUCUAGACUUUGUAACCCUGAGAGAUUGUACCUUCCAGUCUGAAUAAAAUAUUUGUAACAGG
Molecule: long non-coding RNA, 515 nt
Organism: Empidonax traillii (willow flycatcher)
Lineage: Eukaryota; Metazoa; Chordata; Aves; Passeriformes; Tyrannidae
Exons: 2
Source: RefSeq, a predicted model, not a curated record